RNAcentral lists this long non-coding RNA (1597 nucleotides) under Trifolium pratense (red clover). RNAcentral describes it as "long non-coding RNA (TPRA_LNC004003)". The record is from RNAcentral. Lineage: Eukaryota; Viridiplantae; Streptophyta; Magnoliopsida; Fabales; Fabaceae.
AAAAUUAAAAUUAAAAAAUAAACAUAGAGUAAUUCAUCUCCGUCGAACCUCCAUUGAUGUCGUCUUACCUUGUCAAGGUCCACCGAUCUCGUCGUCUAUGUUCUUCGUUUCGACCCAUCACCUCACAAUCGAACCAUAUAUCAUUCGUUUUCUCUCCUUCAAACCCUAAAUUGCUCUUCGUUAUUAACACCUCUAUCAACCAUGUAACAAAAAAAAAACACCUCUAUCAACCACGCUCGAACACCAGAUUUGUCGCCCUCACCCCUUCUUCGAUGCCUUUCGUUGACAGAAAGAAAGAAACUAUCACGCAAAGGAGCUUUUUGCCAACCCCUUCACUGACGAGCUUCUGCCCUCAUACACAGGUUUGAUUUGAAACCCUAAUCUUGUCUGAUCCUUUGGUUUCUUGAUUUUUCAAUUAAUUUAACCUUCUUUCAGUUCAAUGUUGCAAAUUGACAAGGACCACCUCCUUGAAUUUUUCAAUUGCUUAAAUUUCAGGUGUUGCAAACUAUUUGAUUUUGGAUUUUAGUGUGGUAUGAUCUAUUUGUUUUCAAUCGCUUAGUAUUGUUUAUUUUGAGGUGUCUUCAUUUCAGGUAAUUCAUUUUUUAAAGAUAAUUGUUUGAUGAUUAAGAAUUUGAAACACCCUCACUUGCUUGUUGUGUGGUUUGUGAAUGUAUUGAAGAAAUUGAAGUUGUAAAUUUUAAUCCAUGUUUACAUUAUCUUCUUGCCAUAUUUAGAUUAGGUUGUUCUAUCUUUGUGUGAUUUUAUACAUAGAUUGUUGAUCAUCUUUGCCACAUGAAAAAGUGUAAAUCUAUUAAUCUUGCUGUUGUGUUUGAACAGUUGGAAUGGUUCUUGUAUAAAAAGNNNNNNNNNNNNNNUUGUACAGGAAACUUGACAUGCUUUGAUAUAUAAAUUAAGAAGUGGUCAAAGUAAUAGGUUCAAGUUCUUUGAAAUUUGGUGGAUGAGAAUUUUCUGCAUUUCCUCAUAGGAUUGAUUGAAAAGGAGCAUUUUUUCCUGUGCGUUUUUAAAUGGUAGGUAGAUUGGAACCGCUGCCACAACUAUGAAAUCUAUUGAAUUUGUGUUUCUCUGCAUCUUUUCUCUCCGGUCGAGCCAAACUAUUGAUUCUUCCUCUUCUAUUCUCUUUCGUUACCUCUUCUUUUUUCCUUUUUCAAUUAGAACGGUUAUUGAGUCCACCAAACUACCUCUUAUUCCUUUCUUCGAUGUUGUAGGUUUCAACCGCACCAAUUGAAGGUAUUUGUUGAUCUUGUUUCCUUUCAUUGUUACUGCUCUUUUGUACAUUUUAUCUUUUAGGCAUCAUUUUCCACUUGAUUAUAUUAUUGGGUNNNNNNNNNNNNNNNNNNNNNNNUUUUGCUGUUAUAUUUCCUCUGCAUUGUGGUUCUCAAUUUGGAUUUUCAGUUUUUUCUAGUUAAUUUAUAGUGUACUUAUUGUGAAUACUAAAUCAUAAGUAAGAAUCUUGUAUAUAUGUUACUACAAGAAAACAAGGUAUUACUGGCGGCCAAAAGCCCUCAAUAAUGCACAAAUUUCGUCAAAAUUGCAUGCAUUACUGACGGCCAUGGGCCCUCUGCAAUUAGCUCGCCGG